Molecule: transfer RNA, 64 nt
Filed under: Vibidia duodecimguttata (twelve-spotted ladybird beetle)
Lineage: Eukaryota; Metazoa; Arthropoda; Insecta; Coleoptera; Coccinellidae
Also listed under: 1 other name
Description: tRNA-His
Source: RNAcentral
AUUUAAGUAGUUUAUUUAAAAAUAUUGAUUUGUGGAAUCAAAGAAAUUAUUUUAAUCUUAAAUA